Thunnus maccoyii (southern bluefin tuna) is the source of this 403-nucleotide long non-coding RNA. RefSeq lists it as uncharacterized. The record is from RefSeq and is a predicted model, not a curated record. The transcript has 3 exons. Lineage: Eukaryota; Metazoa; Chordata; Actinopteri; Scombriformes; Scombridae.
GGGAGGUCGCAGCUGACGGCACAUUUUCUAUUUUAAGGUGUUGCAGUGGUGUGCUCAUCCCAUGAAAUCCUACACGAUGAUGUAACGUGGCUGUGCAAGCUUUGAAGUUUAAAGGGGAACUGAUGGUGCUGUCGGCUGCGUAACGAAAGCACUGCUGCUGGACCGAGUAGAAAUCUUUCACGGGAUGUGUGAUGAGAUGACAGCUACACAUGGCAGACCUGUGUGACUGCUCUGCUGUCCCUAAUAACAAUAACUUGAACAGUGAGUCAGGCCUGCUCUAUUGAUCAUGAAAACACAACAUCCCUCAUCUAGAGGAGAACAAAACAAGCCAAUAUAGCUUUCAAAUGCUUUACUGCCCUCUAGAAAACAUCAAUGCAGGGGUAUUGGCCCGGUUUACAUAAAA